CUAAAAUUAAAUUUAGCUACAUAUAUGAAUGAGAAAAAAAUAAGAAAUUAUCAAGAAAUUCAUCAUUGGAUUGGUAGUAAAAACGUAGUAGAAAAAGUAAAAUUCUUACACCAAGAUCUCCUUCUUCUUCCAAUCAAUGCUUUAAAUCUUCAAUUGCUUGGUGUUUUCCUCCAUUGAAUUUCUCUUUUGAUUCUCCAAUUAUGUUAUUUUGCCUCUCAAUGUGUGAAGAAUUCUCCAAGAGUGUGAGAAAGAUGUAUUUAUAGGUACUUCCUUCGUUUGUGUAGAAAGUAGGGUUUUUAUGGAUUUCAAAAAGACUCAAAAACGCGUCAUAGACAAUCCCGGCGCAGCACCUAAGUGCUAGGAGUCAAUGCCUCGAACAAAUUCAAGUAGUGCCUAAGUGCUACGCAUGCAGCGCCUAAUCGUUGAUGGUAGGGCCUGGGCGCUAUGAUUGUAGCGUCUAAGCGCUGACUUUUGGGGAUAGCGCUCGGGCGUUGUCGUCCAUUCGAUCGCACUGCACAACUUUCCGUCUUUUAAUAAUAACUUUUUUUUCCAAUAUCCGAUCGAGGCGAUUCAAGAUUCUUUGGAAAGCUAACUCUAAGGGCUAUACCUUUGCUUCAGAUACCAUUUUUAAAUUCGAUCAUUUGCUAUGUCAAAAGUGGGUCUCAAUAUGAGUCUAAAAACGAUGCAUACAUUUCUUCAGAUGGAACUUGAUGUGUUAUCAUAAUUUGAUUAUAUUUCAUCUCUUCAAUGUCUUUCUUUAUUCAAUUGACUUGGAGAACUUUUGAAUCUUCAUAGUGAGGUCUGACACAACUUUUGAGUAUUUGCACUUUAGUCCACGAACUUUGGAUCUCUUAGGAUUUAGUGAUUUUCUCCAAUUUUGUAGACUUUUCCUUAUUUCCUUCAAUUUCUUGUACUGUCAUUGAAUUUUACCUAUUUAACACCAAAUACAAUAAUUUAGACCAUAAUUUAUUCAAAAAGCAACCAAAUGUCAUCAUUUUAAAGUUUUGAAUAAAUGUAUAAAAUACCCUUAUCAAUAUUUAUAUUUUAUAGUUAAUUAU
This 1058-nucleotide long non-coding RNA is filed under the name Olea europaea subsp. europaea. The record is from RNAcentral. Lineage: Eukaryota; Viridiplantae; Streptophyta; Magnoliopsida; Lamiales; Oleaceae.